This 253-nucleotide ribosomal RNA is filed under the name uncultured bacterium. RNAcentral describes it as "partial 16S ribosomal RNA". It matches the Rfam family "Bacterial small subunit ribosomal RNA", at positions 524 to 776 of the family's 1533-position model. The record is from RNAcentral.
UACGGGGGGGGCAAGCGUUGUUCGGAAUUACUGGGCGUAAAGGGCUCGUAGGCGGUUUGUCGCGUCGGGGGUGAAAACCAGGUGCUUAACACCUGGCUUGCUUUCGAUACGGGCAGACUAGAGGUAUGCAGGGGAGAACGGAAUUCCUGGUGUAGCGGUGAAAUGCGCAGAUAUCAGGAGGAACACCGGUGGCGAAGGCGGUUCUCUGGGCAUGACCUGACGCUGAGGAGCGAAAGUGUGGGGAGCGAACAGG